AUUGAACGCUAGCGGGAUGCUUUACACAUGCAAGUCGAACGGAGUGGCGGACGGGUGAGUAAUAUAUCGGAACCUGCCUAGUAGCGGGGGCUAACUACUCGAAAGCGUGGCUAAUACCGCAUACUAUCGGAGCGGCCGAGAUGGGAUUAGCUAGUGGGUGGGGUAAAGGCUCACCAAGGCAACGAUCCGUAGCUGGUUUGAGAGGAAGACCAGCCACACUGGAACUGAGACACGGCCCAGACUCCUACGGGAGGCAGCAGUGGGGAAUUUUGGACAAUGGGGGAAACCCUGAUCCAGCCAUCCCGCGUGUAUGAUGAAGGCCUUCGGGUUGUAAAGUACUUUCAGCGGGGAGGCGGUAGCUGCAGAAUAAGCACCGGCUAACAACGUGCCAGCAGCCGCGGUAAUAC
This 407-nucleotide ribosomal RNA is filed under the name uncultured bacterium. Its description in RNAcentral is "partial 16S ribosomal RNA". It matches the Rfam family "Bacterial small subunit ribosomal RNA", at positions 30 to 526 of the family's 1533-position model. The record is from RNAcentral.